Molecule: ribosomal RNA, 254 nt
Filed under: uncultured bacterium
Lineage: Bacteria
Description: partial 16S ribosomal RNA
Rfam family: Bacterial small subunit ribosomal RNA
Source: RNAcentral
UACGGAGGGUGCAAGCGUUAUCCGGAUUCACUGGGUUUAAAGGGUGUGUAGGCGGAUCAUUAAGUCCGUGGUGAAAUCUCCGAGCUCAACUCGGAAACUGCCAUGGAUACUAUUGAUCUUGAAUCUUGUUGAGGUGGGCGGAAUACAUCAUGUAGCGGUGAAAUGCUUAGAUAUGAUGUAGAACACCGAUUGCGAAGGCAGCUCACUAAGCAAGUAUUGACGCUGAGGCACGAAAAGCGUGGGGAUCAAACAGG